CGUAGGUGGCAAGCGUUAUCCGGAAUUAUUGGGCGUAAAGCGCGCGUAGGCGGUUUUUUAAGUCUGAUGUGAAAGCCCACGGCUCAACCGUGGAGGGUCAUUGGAAACUGGAAAACUUGAGUGCAGAAGAGGAAAGUGGAAUUCCAUGUGUAGCGGUGAAAUGCGCAGAGAUAUGGAGGAACACCAGUGGCGAAAGGCGACUUUUCUGGUCUGUAACUGACGCUGAUGUGCGAAAGCGUGGGGGAUCAAACAGGAUU
RNAcentral lists this ribosomal RNA (257 nucleotides) under uncultured bacterium. RNAcentral describes it as "partial 16S ribosomal RNA". It matches the Rfam family "Bacterial small subunit ribosomal RNA", at positions 526 to 779 of the family's 1533-position model. The record is from RNAcentral.